CACCCAGGAUCCGAACCAGUGAAAUCCUGGGCUGCCGAAGCAGAGUGCACAAAUUCAACAACUCAGCCACAGGGCCGGCCCUCAACCUUGUUUUUUUCACAAUAGUUUGGCUCAGAUUAGUUUCCAAACAAUGUGAACAUAUUGCAUUUGAUUGCUUUGUCUCUCAAAUCUUUUUUAACCUAUAGGCUUCCCCUCCAUCUAUUUUUCCUUGUAAUUUAUUUAUUGAAGAAACCUGGUUAUUUGUCCUGAAGAAUUUUCCACAUUCAAGAUGUUGACGACUGCAUCCUUGAGUUUAACCCGUUCUUCUCUCCCCCUAUAGUUCUUGUAAUUAGACAGAGCCAAAGCCCUGAUUGGAUUCAAGUUUGCUUUCUUUAAAAGCAUUCUUCAUAGGUGGUGCUAUUUACUUCCUAGUUGUCUCAUCAGGAGAACAAGAAAAUCCUAGUUCAUAACAUUAACUACUUAUUUGCAUUAUUAUCUCUUUUUGAGAUGUUAAGAUGGGUCAGUUGGUUGAGGGUCCAUACGUUACAAAGUUCUCCAUCAGCUUUUCACCGACCGGUUUUAGCAACUGUUGGUGAUGUUGCCUACUGGUGAAAUAUAAAUUAUUAGGGGCUACAAAAUUGUGACAUUCUAAUUCUACUGUCUCUUCUGCACUUAACUGGAAUUCUCUUAUAAAGAAGAACCUUCCCUCAUCAACUCUUUGGUAUCCUGAAGCACAGCUGGUAUAGAAAAGGAUCAACCAGAGAAAGCCAAAUAUGCUUCCAACCAAUCACGGAAGAUGCCCCCCUUCUGGUCAGGCCCCCUCCGGCAUCCCAGGCAAAGAACCUCCAAUCACAGCACACCUGGAGCCUCCCUUCCUUUUUUCACCGUAAAGUUUUCCCACUCCCUCCCUGCUUUGAGUCCCUCCCUGCCAAACGCAAGCGAUGGUGGCCGACUCCCUUGCAAGCUCUGAAUGAACAGCCUCUGCUUGUUCUCAUUUGGAUGAUCUUGGUUUAUUUCCAUAUCUCCAGCAGGAAGUCUGAAUACAAACUGAAAUACUCAUGAAACCAACACCCAAACCAGGAGGUAGAGCCACACCCCAGAACACCCAUUCCUGGCUCUAUCCCUCCCAAAGUAACCAUGCUGACUCCCAACACCAUAGAUCAAUUUUGCUUAUUUCUCUAUUUUUCU
RNAcentral lists this long non-coding RNA (1167 nucleotides) under Equus asinus (donkey). RNAcentral describes it as "lncRNA (ENSEASG00005037528.1, ENSEASG00020009126.1)". The record is from RNAcentral. Lineage: Eukaryota; Metazoa; Chordata; Mammalia; Perissodactyla; Equidae.